This is a non-coding RNA of Pelobates cultripes (western spadefoot toad), 599 nucleotides long. The record is from the annotation of a GenBank genome assembly. Lineage: Eukaryota; Metazoa; Chordata; Amphibia; Anura; Pelobatidae.
UAAAUAUUCGGUCUUCCAGAAGUAGACUUGAUGGCAAGAGCCUCAAACAAAAAGGUUCACAAUUUUGCCUCCCUAUGCAGAACAGAUCGACCCAAUUGGAUAGACGCUUUAUCAAUAGAGUGGAACUUCCGACUGGCUUAUGUAUUUCCACCUCUGCCCUUAAUCCCAAAGGUCCUUCUCAAGAUAAGAACAGACAGAGCGAGGGUAUUGGCGAUAAUCCCAUAUUGGCCAAACAGUCUGGUUUGCGGCCAUAAAGGAAAUGACCAUCUAUUAUUGGGAACUUCCAAGAUCAAAUCUACUUAUUGUGAACCGGGACCUGCCCGUGAAAGUCCUAGAAACUUUCAGGUUGACAGCUUGGCUACUGCAAGGCUAAUCCUUCAAAACCAAGGUUUACAAGAAGACAGAAUAGCAAUCUUACUCCACUCGACUAGAAAAUCUACUUCUAAGAUUUACUUUAGGAUUUGGUCUAAAUUUCUACACUGGGGUAAGGAACACCAGUGCCCAAUUUUGCAUCCAUCUAUAGAUAACAUUCUCCAUUUUUUUACAAGAUGGGUUUUCAGCUGGGUUGAGUGUCUCCACACUCAAGGUGCAUGUAUCGG